RNAcentral lists this transfer RNA (66 nucleotides) under Stictochironomus juncaii. Its description in RNAcentral is "tRNA-Asn". Lineage: Eukaryota; Metazoa; Arthropoda; Insecta; Diptera; Chironomidae. The record is from RNAcentral.
UUAAUUGAAACCAAAAAGAGGUAUGUUACUGUUAAUAACACAAAUGGGAUUUAAUCCCCAAUUAAA